RNAcentral lists this ribosomal RNA (380 nucleotides) under uncultured organism. RNAcentral's name for it is "bacterial SSU rRNA". It matches the Rfam family "Bacterial small subunit ribosomal RNA", at positions 45 to 433 of the family's 1533-position model. The record is from RNAcentral.
UGCCUUACACAUGCAAGUCGAACGGUAGAGUAGCAAUACUUGAGAGUGGCGAACGGGUGAGUAAUAUAUCGGAACGUGCCCAACUGUGGGGGAUAACGUAGAGAAAUUUACGCUAAUACCGCAUACGAUCUAAGGAUGAAAGCGGGGGAUCGCAAGACCUCGCGCAGUUGGAGCGGCUGAUAUCAGAUUAGCUUGUUGGUGAGGUAAAAGCUCACCAAGGCGACGAUCUGUAGCUGGUUUGAGAGAACGACCAGCCACACUGGGACUGAGACACGGCCCAGACUCCUACGGGAGGCAGCAGUGGGGAAUUUUGGACAAUGGGCGAAAGCCUGAUCCAGCAAUGCCGCGUGCAGGAAGAAGGCCUUCGGGUUGUAAACUGC